Molecule: ribosomal RNA, 5448 nt
Filed under: Staphylococcus aureus
Lineage: Bacteria; Bacillati; Bacillota; Bacilli; Caryophanales; Staphylococcaceae
Description: 23S ribosomal RNA
Rfam family: Bacterial large subunit ribosomal RNA (bases 3704-5448)
Source: RNAcentral
UUCAUCAUUAACGGGUGAUUGAUGAAUAAACUUUUCACCUUGGCUCAUUACAGACAUUAACUCUCCAUUUUGUUUCUUGUAAUUAUACGGCAUUUGCAAUCUCUCCUUUACAUUGUUUAAUACCAAUCCAGUGAUACUACACUUCGAACAAUAUUGGAUAGAAUUUGAAAUUCUGUAUAACAUCUUGUCAAUCUAUGCUUUAGUUAAAACAUUUAGCGCUUAUAUUUAAAAAAUAUAUAAAAUAUGAAAACAGAUUGAAAGGAUAUUAUACCUUGCUCUACCCUUUUUUAUAAAAAAUCACACACAUUUGAGAAAAUUUGAUAAUGUCAAUAAAUCACGCCAUCGCCAUUGUUAUUAGGUAUAUAUUGUUCUUAUAAUGGCCAAACUAUUAUUCCAUUUACAUUAAUGGGGUUCGCUUGUGUUAAUGUACUGUAAAAAACUGGGGAAGUAUUGGUGAUGAUGAAGUGAUUUAUAUUAAUUGCGAAACACCUUCGAUAGCAAACGAUAUUAAACAUGUACAAAUCAAGCUAAAUAUUACGUGAAAAUCACUGUUUAGUGUUUUUCUUUUUGUUUAUUUCUUCUUUAAUUUUUUCAGGAGAUUUUAAAUUUUCAGCGUUCUUUAAUUUUCCUAAGACUUCAUUACUUCCUGUCAAUCCUCCAGUGAAUUGAUAGUUUUCUUCAGGUGACCCAUAUGCAACAAAAUCAGCUUCUUUAUUUUCAUUGAUGUAACCUUCAAUUACUGCAUCGCCCAUAGGUCCUCUUUUUAAACUUGUGAAAUGUACAGAUUUGAUGGUAUUGGGUUCUUUGGUAUUAUGCUUGAGAUAAAGUGUAAUGCGCUCUUGUUGUCCUUUGUAAUAAAUUUCUUUUUGUUUUUCUUUUUCGUCAUAUUUCAUUUUUAAAUAAAUGACGGAUGCAACUAUACAUAUACAUAAAAUGACACCAAUAAUUAUAAAACCAUGUUUUUUGGACAUUAAAGCAACUCCUAACUUUAGUAACUCUUCUUUUUAUUUAGUUCUUUUUUUAUACCAUCUGGUGAUUUUAAUUGAUGCGCUGGUUUUAGUAACUCACUUAAUCUUUCACUUUUAAUUAAAUCACCUACAAAUUGAAAGUUAUUUUCAGGUGAUGCAUAGGCAACAAAAUCAUCUUUUUUGUUUUCAUUUAUGUAACCUUCAAUCACAGCACUUCCCAUAGGACUUGUUUCCAAUUUUGUGAAAUGCACAGAUUUAAUCGUGUUCGGUUCUUUAGUGUUAUGCUUGAGAUAAAGUGUAAUGCGCGCUUGUUGUUCUUUAUAGUAUAUUGAUUUUUGUUUUUCUUUUUCGUCAUAUUUCAUUUUAAAAUAGAUACUUGCAACACUAAUUAAUAUGAUUAACAUAAUACUAGUUAAUAUUAAAAUUUUCUUUUUCGACAUCUAUCACCAGCUCCUAAAAUGUGGUGGGAUUUUAUACAGUUUACAUAUUUAUGAUACUACAAAACACACUCUUACAAAGAAAAUCUAUAAUUUUAAUCUAGGUCAAGGAAAAGCAGCCAAAAGUGUUCAUUUAAGAUCAUCGGAAUAUUGCGGUUAUGAAGUGGUUAACAGAUAAAUACAGUGAAAAUUGUACUAAAAAUUCAACUUUUCAUUUUUAUGUGUAAGUAUGAUUAACUUGAAAGCAAAAUUAAAACGACCGCAUUGUUUUAGCGGUCGUUCUUUUUAGAAUCUAGUUCUUUUUUUAUAUCAUCAGGCGUUUUGGUUUGAUGUGCUGGUUUUAAUAAUGUGCUUAAAUUUUUACUUUUGAUUAAACUUCCACCAAAUUGAUAAUUAUGUUCUGGAGACCCAUAUGCAACAAAAUUAUCUUCUUUAUUUUCAUUGAUGUAACCUUCAAUUACGGCAUCGCCCAUAGGUCCUGUCUUUAAACUUGUGAAAUGCACAGAUUUGAUCGUGUUCGGUUCUUUAGUGUUAUGCUUGAGAUAGAGUGUAAUACGCUCUUGUUGUUCUUUAUAAUAAAUUGAUUUUUGCUUUUCUUUUUCGUCAUAUUUCACUUUUAAAUAAAUGACUGUAGCAACUAUACAUAUACAUAAAAUAACACCAAUAAUUAUAAAAACAUGUUUUUUGGUCAUUAAAGCAACUCCUAGAAUAUGGUAGGAAAUGAAAAAGUUUUUAUAGUUCUGUAAUUAUGAACAUUAUAGAUUAUAAAUCAUAACACUAAUAUAGUCGCCUUCACUCACUUGAUUGUUAAAAUCACCAAUUACUGAGAAUUGUACAAGGAAUAAUUGUCUAUCAUGCCCUUAUAUCAUUAUUGCCUUACUAAUAUUAACAAAACCGAUAGCUAUUACAUUAAAUGCCUAUAUCCCAGACCUCAAACACCUUUUUAUACAGGACGCACUGUAAUUUCAUUCACGUUAACGUGCUUUGGUUGUGUUAAUGCAUAUAAUACUGCUUCUGCAAUAUCUUGUGGUUCAAGUUUUUUACGAUCUGUUGGAUUGUAUGCGGCAGUUAUUGCUGUAUCUACCAUUCCUGGAGAAAUGCUUGUUACUUUAACACCUGUCUUUGCCAACUCUUUUUCUAAUCCUUGAGUAAUAGUGUGAACUGCUGCUUUCGUCGCACUAUAAAUCGUACUGCUUUUCGUUACUUCAAAGCCAGAAAUAGAUGCAAUGUUAAUAAGAUGACCACUUGAUUGUUCUAACAUAGUUGGUAAUGCAGCCUGUGCCGUAUAUAAAGUGCCUUUGAUAUUCACAUCAAUCAUACUAUCCCACUCAUCUACUUGAUAAUCAGUAAUCUUAGACGAUAACAUUUGUCCCGCACUAUUGAUAACAAUAUCCAAACCACCGAAUGUUUGUUGUGCAAUUUUUAUCAAUUCAUCGACUUCUUCUUUUUUCGUUACAUCUGUUGGCACUACCUUCACACUAUCUUGAGCUAAUUGAUUCGCCACAUUUUGUAGUUUAUCUUUAUUUCUACCGGCUAAGAUGACUUUCACACCCUCUUCAUGUAGUAAUGUUGCAAUUGCUUCUCCAAUACCACUACCUGCACCUGUAACUACUGCUACUUUAUCUGUUAAUACUGUCAUAAUGAUCGACUCCUUUGAUUCUUUUUAUUUUUUCAGGGUAAAUCAUAAAUACAUAUUACUUUUAAAAAGCGUAUCACAAUUCAUAUAACGGUCAUAAUAACUCGCUUCAUUUUCAUAGAUAAAUUACAUUACAAGCCAUUCUAAAUAUACAAUUAAUCGUUGCUUAUAUUUUUUAUUUUUAAAAAUGUUGAAAAAUCGUCACUUCUUUAUUGUAAAAACAUUAUAUUAGUACUAAAGUUAAUACUGUGAUUUAUCAUUCGAUUGAAUGAUUAGAGGGAGGAAUAAAACGUGACAUAUCAUGAGCGUGUUUUAGCAUUAAGAGCAGAAAGUAAAAGAACCGCAUUUGAUUUUCGAUUCGAAGAUUUAUUUAGCAAAGAAGAAUGGCUAAGUAUGUCGCUUGCAGAAAGACAAAAAGCUGAAAAAGCAUUUCGACACGAAGUUAAAAAUAUGGACGAUGUAAGAAUGCCCUUCUCAAGUGUCCAUGACGCCCAAGUAAAAUUAUAUAAUGUUGUAUAUUCUUAUAACGGCAUUAAACGUAAUUUUAAACAAGUUGAAAAUGAAGGAUUCUAAUAUCAUUUCGUUUAUAUAUAGCAGACAUGAUAGAAUUUUAUAUGUAAAUCUUGUAGGUUGUAAAUGUCAAUAUAAAAAUGUACAUAAAUGAUUGUAUAAGAAUGUACAAAAUUGUUUGCUAAGUAAUUUCCUUCUUAGGUGAAUGAUCUUUUAAUCUAUACGAUUUGCCUUUGAUUUUAACUACACUUGAAUGAUGCAAUAUCCUAUCCAAAAUCGCAUUUGCGAUUUUUGGAUCAUCAAAUAUUUCAUUCCAUAAGUUGAAAUUGAUAUUUGUGGUAAAUAUUGUACUUUUCUUCUCAUAUCUUAAAUCUAUUAAUUGAAAGAAUAGUUUGGCAUCUUCACUUCCAAUAGGUAAGUACCCAAUCUCAUCUAUGAUUAAUAACUUAUACUUGCUAUAGUGCUUCAAUCUAUUUUCUAAUCUGUUCUCAAGUUUUGCUUUUCUUAAAUUCUCUAUCAAAUGAUGACAUUUAAUAAAGUAAGUACUCACUCUAUUUUUAGCUGCAGNCGUUGAUUUCACACUGCCGAGAAAAGCCUCUAGAUAGAAAAUAGGUGCCCGUACCGCAAACCGACACAGGUAGUCAAGAUGAGAAUUCUAAGGUGAGCGAGCGAACUCUCGUUAAGGAACUCGGCAAAAUGACCCCGUAACUUCGGGAGAAGGGGUGCUCUUUAGGGUUAACGCCCAGAAGAGCCGCAGUGAAUAGGCCCAAGCGACUGUUUAUCAAAAACACAGGUCUCUGCUAAACCGUAAGGUGAUGUAUAGGGGCUGACGCCUGCCCGGUGCUGGAAGGUUAAGAGGAGUGGUUAGCUUCUGCGAAGCUACGAAUCGAAGCCCCAGUAAACGGCGGCCGUAACUAUAACGGUCCUAAGGUAGCGAAAUUCCUUGUCGGGUAAGUUCCGACCCGCACGAAAGGCGUAACGAUUUGGGCACUGUCUCAACGAGAGACUCGGUGAAAUCAUAGUACCUGUGAAGAUGCAGGUUACCCGCGACAGGACGGAAAGACCCCGUGGAGCUUUACUGUAGCCUGAUAUUGAAAUUCGGCACAGCUUGUACAGGAUAGGUAGGAGCCUUUGAAACGUGAGCGCUAGCUUACGUGGAGGCGCUGGUGGGAUACUACCCUAGCUGUGUUGGCUUUCUAACCCGCACCACUUAUCGUGGUGGGAGACAGUGUCAGGCGGGCAGUUUGACUGGGGCGGUCGCCUCCUAAAAGGUAACGGAGGCGCUCAAAGGUUCCCUCAGAAUGGUUGGAAAUCAUUCAUAGAGUGUAAAGGCAUAAGGGAGCUUGACUGCGAGACCUACAAGUCGAGCAGGGUCGAAAGACGGACUUAGUGAUCCGGUGGUUCCGCAUGGAAGGGCCAUCGCUCAACGGAUAAAAGCUACCCCGGGGAUAACAGGCUUAUCUCCCCCAAGAGUUCACAUCGACGGGGAGGUUUGGCACCUCGAUGUCGGCUCAUCGCAUCCUGGGGCUGUAGUCGGUCCCAAGGGUUGGGCUGUUCGCCCAUUAAAGCGGUACGCGAGCUGGGUUCAGAACGUCGUGAGACAGUUCGGUCCCUAUCCGUCGUGGGCGUAGGAAAUUUGAGAGGAGCUGUCCUUAGUACGAGAGGACCGGGAUGGACAUACCUCUGGUGUACCAGUUGUCGUGCCAACGGCAUAGCUGGGUAGCUAUGUGUGGACGGGAUAAGUGCUGAAAGCAUCUAAGCAUGAAGCCCCCCUCAAGAUGAGAUUUCCCAACUUCGGUUAUAAGAUCCCUCAAAGAUGAUGAGGUUAAUAGGUUCGAGGUGGAAGCAUGGUGACAUGUGGAGCUGACGAAUACUAAUCGAUCGAAGACUUAAUCAA